Molecule: transfer RNA, 73 nt
Filed under: Stegodyphus mimosarum
Lineage: Eukaryota; Metazoa; Arthropoda; Arachnida; Araneae; Eresidae
Rfam family: tRNA
About the family: Transfer RNA (tRNA) molecules are approximately 80 nucleotides in length. Their secondary structure includes four short double-helical elements and three loops (D, anti-codon, and T loops).
Source: Rfam by way of RNAcentral
ACCUUCGUGAUAUAGUGGUCAAUACGCUGGACGCGUAUUCCAGAGAUCCGUGGUUCGAGUCCUGGCGAAGGCG